GUGUCAGCCGCCGCGGUAAUACGAAGGACCCGAGCGUUAUCCGGAUUUAUUGGGUUUAAAGGGUGCGUAGGCGGGUUAUUAAGUCAGUGGUGAAAGCCUACAGCUUAACUGUAGAACUGCCAUUGAUACUGAUAAUCUUGAGUAUGAUUGAGGUGGGCGGAAUGUGUCAUGUAGCGGUGAAAUGCUUAGAUAUGACACAGAACACCGAUUGCGAAGGCAGCUCACUAAGCCAUAACUGACGCUGAUGCACGAAAGCGUGGGGAGCAAACAGGAUUAGAAACCCGAGUAGUCC
This 292-nucleotide ribosomal RNA is filed under the name uncultured bacterium. Its description in RNAcentral is "partial 16S ribosomal RNA". It matches the Rfam family "Bacterial small subunit ribosomal RNA", at positions 505 to 796 of the family's 1533-position model. The record is from RNAcentral.